RNAcentral lists this ribosomal RNA (793 nucleotides) under uncultured archaeon. RNAcentral describes it as "bacterial SSU rRNA". It matches the Rfam family "Archaeal small subunit ribosomal RNA", at positions 77 to 873 of the family's 1478-position model. The record is from RNAcentral.
CGUGGCAUACGGCUCAGUAACACGUAGUCAACAUGCCCAAAGGACGUGGAUAACCUCGGGAAACUGAGGAUAAACCGCGAUAGGCCAAGGUUUCUGGAAUGAGCCAUGGCCUAAAUCUAUAUGGCCUUUGGAUUGGACUGCGGCCGAUCAGGCUGUUGGUGAGGUAAUGGCCCACCAAACCUGUUACCGGUACGGGCUUUGAGAGAAGGAGCCCGAAGAUGGGCACUGAGACAAGGGCCCAGGCCCUAUGGGGCGCAGCAGGCGCGAAACCUCUGCAAUGGGCGAAAGCCUGACAGGGUUACUCUGAGUGGUUCCCGCUAAGGGAAUCUUUUGGCACCUCUAAAAAUGGUGCAGAAUAAGGGGUGGGCAAGUCUGGUGUCAGCCGCCGCGGUAAUACCAGCACCCCGAGUGGUCGGGACGAUUAUUGGGCCUAAAGCAUCCGUAGCCGGUCUUACAAGUCUUCCGUUAAAUCCACCUGCUUAACAGAUGGGCUGCGGAGGAUACUAUAAGGCUAGGAGGCGGGAGAGGCAAGCGGUACUCAGUGGGUAGGGGUAAAAUCCUCUGAUCCAUUGAAGACCACCAGUGGCGAAGGCGGCUUGCCAGAACGCGCUCGACGGUGAGGGAUGAAAGCUGGGGGAGCAAACCGGAUUAGAUACCCGGGUAGUCCCAGCUGUAAACGAUGCAGACUCGGUGAUGGGCCGGCUUUAUGCCAGCUCAGUGCCGCAGGGAAGCCGUUAAGUCUGCCGCCUGGGGAGUACGGUCGCAAGACUGAAACUUAAAGGAAUUGGCGGGG